RNAcentral lists this unclassified non-coding RNA (244 nucleotides) under rhizosphere metagenome. Its description in RNAcentral is "partial ribosomal RNA internal transcribed spacer region". The record is from RNAcentral.
GUAGGUGAACCUGCGGAAGGAUCAUUAUUGAAUGAAUGUAGAGUUGGUUGUCGCUGGCCUUUGUUGGCAUGUGCACGCCUUCUCUUUCAUCCACACACACCUGUGCACCUGUGAGACGGAGAGCUUGCCCUUUUGCGAGGGUGUUUUCUCCGUCUGCCAAUACACAAACUCAUAUAUUUAAUUUGAAUGUAAUUGAUGUAACGCAUCUAUAAACUAAGUUUCAACAACGGAUCUCUUGGCUCUC